CUAUGCGCCUUGCCAGCCCGCUCAGGUGUGCAGCCGCCGCGGUAAUACAGAGGUCUCAAGCGUUGUUCGGAGUCACUGGGCGUAAAGCGUGCGUAGGCGGUUUCGUAAGUCGUGUGUGAAAGGCGGGGGCUCAACCCCCGGACUGCACAUGAUACUGCGAGACUAGAGUAAUGGAGGGGGAACCGGAAUUCUCGGUGUAGCAGUGAAAUGCGUAGAUAUCGAGAGGAACACUCGUGGCGAAGGCGGGUUCCUGGACAUUAACUGACGCUGAGGCACGAAGGCCAGGGGAGCGAAAGGG
This 298-nucleotide ribosomal RNA is filed under the name uncultured bacterium. RNAcentral's name for it is "partial 16S ribosomal RNA". It matches the Rfam family "Bacterial small subunit ribosomal RNA", at positions 475 to 776 of the family's 1533-position model. The record is from RNAcentral.